UGGGGAAUAUUGGACAAUGGGCGCAAGCCUGAUCCAGCCAUGCCGCGUGUGUGAAGAAGGUCUUCGGAUUGUAAAGCACUUUAAGUUGGGAGGAAGGGCAGUAAGCGAAUACCUUGCUGUUUUGACGUUACCGACAGAAUAAGCACCGGCUAACUCUGUGCCAGCAGCCGCGGUAAUACAGAGGGAGCAAGCGUUAAUCGGAAUUACUGGGCGUAAAGCGCGCGUAGGUGGUUCGUUAAGUUGAAUGUGAAAGCCCCGGGCUCAACCUGGGAACGGCAUCCAAAACUGGCGAGCUAGAGUAGGGCAGAGGGUGGUGGAAUUUCCUGUGUAGCGGUGAAAUGCGUAGAUAUAGGAAGGAACGCCAGUGGCGAAGGCGAGCACCUGGGCUCAUACUGACACUGAAGUGCGAAAACGUAGGGAGCAAACAGG
RNAcentral lists this ribosomal RNA (429 nucleotides) under Pseudomonadota bacterium. RNAcentral's name for it is "Proteobacteria bacterium partial 16S ribosomal RNA". It matches the Rfam family "Bacterial small subunit ribosomal RNA", at positions 355 to 776 of the family's 1533-position model. The record is from RNAcentral. Lineage: Bacteria; Pseudomonadati; Pseudomonadota.